This 1203-nucleotide long non-coding RNA is filed under the name Vulpes vulpes (red fox). Its description in RNAcentral is "lncRNA (ENSVVUG00000025810.1)". The record is from RNAcentral. Lineage: Eukaryota; Metazoa; Chordata; Mammalia; Carnivora; Canidae.
GGCCGCGGGGCUGACCUGGGCUGCACCUGCGCCCUGCUCUAACGUGCUCUAACGUGCUCUAACCUGCGCUGCGUGACCGCGGCCAGACCUAACUCCGCCACCGACCCCUUGGAAGCUCAAGGGUUGAGUUUCGGGACGGAUGGGGGCUCCCCUCCCGCCUGCAGCAUUCCCAUCCUGUCCACCCCUGCGCCCCCAGCCCUGCUGCGCUCUGCAGCCUGCCUGAACCCACCAGACCGCGGGGUCUUGCUGAGGCUGACGGCUAAGAUUUGCAGCAUCUCCAUGGCACCGUCAAUCUGGGUUCCUCUUGCCAGGAAUUGGUUCCUGCUUUCCGCUGGAGGAAAGCCCGGACCUAGGACGCCAUGUGACGUGAAUGACUCCACCCAGGACGAUGCCCUUUGGCUCCUGCUUAUAUGUCCCAAUGCUCACCGGACUCAGAUGCUUGAGUGUCUAGGAGAUACCUGUGCUUAUUCCCCUCCAAGGCUUGCGGUCCUCCCCAUCUCAGCACGACACCUCCAGAAACACAGGUGUCACCUGCAUGUUCUUUCAUGCCCUCAAACCUAAUAUAGUUGACAGUAACGGAAGUUGGAAGUUCCUCCUCCACACCAUGUGAUUCUUCACGGCCAUGUAGCCCCUAUGCCGUCUGGGUAGGGCCGCUCACUCCCAUACCUUCCCCGGUCCAAGCCAACAAGGGUAAUCUCAUCCCUCAUCCACGCCGUGUCUGGUAACGUCCAUCUAAGCUAAUGAGGCUGCAGGCAACAGAUGUAUAGUGGGGGUAUGAAGCUAGCCCUAGCCCGUUCUCCCAGCAAUGGGCAUUUGUCUAGAGAUGGCUCAAUCAAUCCGAGAUCAGGAUUUUUAUUUUACAGUUGUUGGAACGAUGCCUGCCCCUCCCCCAGGCAAAUAAGACCAUCUUGCCACCAUGUAUAGGUCUUGCUCUUGAAGCCAAGAGGUAUGGACUCACAUCCAGGUAUGGACUCAGCGUAAGGAUAAAGGGACGCACAAAGGGUGGGGGACAGACGGAGUGGGACUGAGAAGCAGAAGAAUACAUUUAGAGCCCUGAUCAAACCUUACUUGAAGCCCACAUCCAUCAUAGCUUUCACUUUAUAAGUCUGUAAAUCGUCCUUAUUUUCGGAAGAAAGUUGAUGGAGUUUUGUUUCCUGAAAUCGAAAGAUUUCAAACCAAUAAACGUAUCCACGCCACUAGCCA